Molecule: non-coding RNA, 644 nt
Organism: Phascolarctos cinereus (koala)
Lineage: Eukaryota; Metazoa; Chordata; Mammalia; Diprotodontia; Phascolarctidae
Source: RefSeq, a predicted model, not a curated record
UCUUAUCCCUAAAUAAACAUAAGGUUAUUUGGGAUGGUCAAGAAAAUGCUCUUCUAGGCAGGUGAACUGAGCUUUGAAGUCAACUUGAGAUUUGAAGGAGUAGAAGUGAGAAAGGAGUACAUUCCAUCCAAAGAAACAGGAGAUGGAGUGCCAUGUGUAAAGAAUCUUGACAAGGCCAGUUUUGAUGAACUGAAGAGUGGGUGAAACGGAGGCUUGUAUAAUGAGCCUGGAAAGGUCUCUCCCCUCCUGACUGAAGAAGAUGGAGAGUGAACACUAGAGAACUCCUCCCAGAUCCUCCACAAUUUAUGAAGGGUGCCCAGAGGAUUUACCUCAUCAUUUCCUCCCCUACUACUUUCUUGGACUUCAAGAUCUCCAGAAAGUCAUCAUUCUGCAAGACCUCAUCGAGAUAAGAGAAGAGCAAGACAGAGAUUGCCAGUGCCUGUGGAGCUGUGAAUGCCACUUGGAGGGGUGCUUGUCUUCCUUCCCAAAGAGAUGGGAGUUCAUUUUGAGAUUUCUGAUGACUCUCCAGCUUAACUUCACAGAGAAUGGUAUUCUUGUACCUUUGGAAAAGUAUUUGGAUUAAUGUAACAAACUUUACAACUAAAUAAAAAAUUUGAAUUUGUAGAACAUUAAUAAAUUAUUUA